UACGGAAGGCAGCAGUGGGGAAUAUUGCACAAUGGGCGCAAGCCUGAUGCAGCCAUGCCGCGUGUAUGAAAAAGGCCUUCGGGUUGUAAAGUACUUUCAGUCGUGAGGAAGGUGUUAAGGUUAAUAACCUUAGCAAUUGACGUUAGCGACAGAAGAAGCACCGGCUAACUCCGUGCCAGCAGCCGCGGUAAUACGGAGGGUGCGAGCGUUAAUCGGAAUUACUGGGCGUAAAGGGCACGCAGGCGGUUAAUUAAGUUGGAUGUGAAAUCCCCGGGCUUAACCUGGGAAUGGCAUUCAAGACUGGUUAGCUAGAGUCUUGUAGAGGGGGUAGAAUUCCGAUGUGUAGCGGUGAAAUGCGUAGAGAUGUGGAGGAAUACCGGUGGCGAAGGCGGCCCCUGGACAAAGACUGACGCUCAUGUGCGAAAGCGUGGGGAGCAAACGAGGGAUUAGAUACC
This 455-nucleotide ribosomal RNA is filed under the name uncultured bacterium. RNAcentral's name for it is "bacterial SSU rRNA". It matches the Rfam family "Bacterial small subunit ribosomal RNA", at positions 340 to 786 of the family's 1533-position model. The record is from RNAcentral.